CAGUGGCGAACGGGUGAGUAACACGUGGGCAAUCUGCCCUGCACUCUGGGACAAGCCCUGGAAACGGGGUCUAAUACCGGAUAUGACCUUCCUCCGCAUGGGGGUUGGUGGAAAGCUCCGGCGGUGCAGGAUGAGCCCGCGGCCUAUCAGCUUGUUGGUGGGGUAAUGGCCUACCAAGGCGACGACGGGUAGCCGGCCUGAGAGGGCGACCGGCCACACUGGGACUGAGACACGGCCCAGACUCCUACGGGAGGCAGCAGUGGGGAAUAUUGCACAAUGGGCGAAAGCCUGAUGCAGCGACGCCGCGUGAGGGAUGACGGCCUUCGGGUUGUAAACCUCUUUCAGCAGGGAAGAAGCGCAAGUGACGGUACCUGCAGAAGAAGCACCGGCUAACUACGUGCCAGCAGCCGCGGUAAUACGUAGGGUGCGAGCGUUGUCCGGAAUUAUUGGGCGUAAAGAGCUCGUAGGCGGCCUGUCGCGUCGGAUGUGAAAGCCCGGGGCUUAACCCCGGGUCUGCAUUCGAUACGGGCAGGCUAGAGUGUGGUAGGGGAGAUCGGAAUUCCU
This 564-nucleotide ribosomal RNA is filed under the name Kitasatospora aburaviensis. RNAcentral describes it as "bacterial SSU rRNA". It matches the Rfam family "Bacterial small subunit ribosomal RNA", at positions 93 to 671 of the family's 1533-position model. The record is from RNAcentral. Lineage: Bacteria; Bacillati; Actinomycetota; Actinomycetes; Kitasatosporales; Streptomycetaceae.